RNAcentral lists this ribosomal RNA (406 nucleotides) under uncultured bacterium. RNAcentral describes it as "partial 16S ribosomal RNA". It matches the Rfam family "Bacterial small subunit ribosomal RNA", at positions 30 to 526 of the family's 1533-position model. The record is from RNAcentral.
AUUGAACGCUGGCGGCAGGCUUAACACCUGCAAGCCGAGCGAGCGGCGGACGGGUGAGGAAUGUCUGGGGAACUGCCUGAUGGAGGGGGAUAACUACUGGACACGGUCGCUCAUACCGCAUACCAUCAGAUGUGCCCAGAUGGGAUUAGCUAGUAGGUGGGGUAAGGGCUCACCUAGCCGACGCUCCCUAGCUGGUCUGAGAGGAUGAUCAGCGACGCUGAAACUGAGACACGGUCCAGACGCCUACGGGAGGCGGCCGGUGGGAAUAUGGCACAAUGGGCGCAAGCCUGCUGCAGCCAUGCCGCGUGUGUUAAGAAGGCCUUCGGUUUGUAAAGCACUUUCAGCGUUGAGGCGUUACUCUCUGAAGAAGCACCUGCUGACUCCGUGCCAGCAGCCGCGGUAAUAC